Molecule: ribosomal RNA, 224 nt
Filed under: uncultured bacterium
Lineage: Bacteria
Description: partial 16S ribosomal RNA
Rfam family: Bacterial small subunit ribosomal RNA
Source: RNAcentral
AGUAAUGCAUCGGAACGUGUCCCGUAGUGGGGGAUAGCCCGGCGAAAGCCGGAUUAAUACCGCAUAUGCUCUACGGAGGAAAGUGGGGGACUCGCAAGGGCCUCACGUUAUGGGAGCGGCCGAUGUCCGAUUAGCUUGUUGGCGGGGUAAUGGCCCACCAAGGCGACGAUCGGUAGCUGGUCUGAGAGGAUGAUCAGCCACACUGGGACUGAGACACGGCCCAG